AUACGUGGAGACUGUGUUGGUGCUCCUGGCUUCGGCCCGGGGCUGAAAAGGGAACCCGGCGAACAUCCGGGGCUGCCCCGCAGCGGUAAUCGAGAACGAUCUCCACGCAGCGCACUGGUCCGGGAAACCGGGCUGGGAAGCGGUGGAGGGUAGGAACCCGGCGAGAGCCGGAGCGCUCGUGAGCCCGAAGACCUGCCAGCAUGCGAUCGCGGGA
Molecule: non-coding RNA, 214 nt
Filed under: Myxococcales bacterium
Lineage: Bacteria; Pseudomonadati; Myxococcota; Myxococcia; Myxococcales
Source: RNAcentral